AAAAGUUACUAGAUCCUAUAUUGACUGUGCUUACUAAUUACAAAAUCUUAGAAAAUGUAAAAAGCCAAGAAAAACAAGAUUAUGUAAUGCAGAUGACAUGCAAUGUAAUGUCUAUUUGUCAGCCUCUCUUUUCAAUUCCAUCACUUGUUUUCUUCACUAUUCAUAACUCUCAGUAACUCCCAUUUAAUACACUCAUCAUCUUAGCUUUGUCUUCUAAUUCAAGCACCAAAGAUUCUCUUCACUUCCCCAUUUUUCUAAUUUUAUCUUUUCUUUUGUCUUUUCUCUUCAUUUUUGUUUUUGUUUUUGAGUUCUAUGAGCCUUUCUUUCUCUUCUUCAAGGCCCAUUUUAGCAAAAGUUUCAAUCUUUGCUUAAUUUGGUUAAAAGGGUAUGUGUCAUUCAAUAUGAAUUGCACAAAUUUUUCAUGAAAAAUUUGGAUUCUUGAAAUUAUUGUCUGAUAGGUUUCUGAUUGUAGAAAGGAAAUUGCAAGAAAAAGGAAGGUGUUUUAAAUGGUACAUUUAGAUUCUUGCUUUUAGCUUUAAUGGUGUAAUAAAGUUAUGAGCUUUUUAGGAAAAUGGGUAAUCAAGAACAUCAAAUUUGAGUUAAAAAGCUGUGAUUUUUCACACUUUUUUUUCAAGAAAGUAUGCCAACAGUGUGGUUUUCUUUGAAGAAAUCACUGCAUUGUAAAUCAGAGCCAUCAGAGGUUCAUGACCCUAAAACCAGGAAGCAAUUGAGCACAAUCUUGACAAGAAAAGCAGGAAGAUCAGGCUGUUCAAGGUCCAUAGCUAAUCUUAAAGAUGUCAUCCAUGGCAGUAAAAGACAUACAGAGAGGCCACCAAGUUGCAGUCCAAGAUCUAUUGGUAGCAGUGAGUUUCUUAAUCCAAUAACUCAUGAAGUUAUUUUGAGUAACUCAAGGUGUGAGCUUAAAAUCACUGGAUUUGGUGGGUCACAGGAAGGGAUUGCCACCGCUGCUGGUGGUGGUGGAGGUGGUGGGAAUUCUACCUUUGUUGGUACUUUAAGGCCUGGAACACCAGGGCCUGGAGGGCAUCCUACAAUGCAUUAUUUUAAUCCUUCAUUUAGAAACUCUGCUACUCCACCAAGAAAAUCUCCAUUUGUUUUGUCUGAUAGAGAAGGGUCUGGAGUGUUUGGUGGUGGUGGUGGUAAUGGUGGACAUUCAAGCACUAGGGUGUCUCUUGAAACAGAUGCUAAUGGUUCUUCUACAAUCACUUGCCAUAAAUGUGGAGAACAGUUUACCAAAUGGGAAGCUGCUGAAAAUCAUCAUCUCUCUAAACAUGCUGUCACUGAACUAGUAGAAGGUGACUCAUCAAGAAAGAUUGUUGAAAUCAUAUGCAGAACAAGUUGGUUAAAGAGCGAAAACCAUUGCGGACGAAUUGAAAGAGUAUUGAAAGUUCAUAAUAUGCAGAAAACUCUAGCGCGCUUCGAAGAAUACAGAGAAAUGGUCAAAAUUAAGGCCAGCAAACUCCCCAAGAAACAUCCUAGGUGCAUUGCAGAUGGAAAUGAGCUACUCAGGUUCUACGGAACCACCAUUGCAUGCUCGCUCGGCCUAAACGGAUCAUCCAGCUUAUGCAUAUCUGAAAAAUGCUGUGUUUGCCGAAUAAUAAGAAACGGAUUCUCUGCAAAGAAAGAGCUUAAAGGCGGAGUAGGUGUUUUCACAACGUCUACUAGCGGCAGAGCUUUUGAAUCUAUUGAAUUAUUAGAAGAAGAUCCCUGCUUAAGAAAAGCUCUAAUAGUAUGCAGAGUGAUAGCAGGAAGAGUUCAUAGACCAUUAGAGAAUAUACAAGAAAUUUCUGGCCAAACAGGCUUUGAUUCAUUAGCAGGAAAAGUUGGUCUCUACUCAAAUAUUGAGGAGCUUUAUCUGCUAAAUCCUAGAGCUCUCCUUCCAUGUUUUGUGGUAAUAUGCAAACCUUGAAGAAAACCUCAGUAAAAAAUGCUAUCAAGUAUACAUUAUUGGUUGAAGAAAACAGCUAUUAAGAUAAGGUGUUAGAGCUAGCUAACCUGUUACUGGAGAUAAGAGAACUUGAAUACUUGAUGGAACAGUUGAAGUAAGAAAUGCACCAGCAACAGUAGUUGUUAUUACCGAAACAAGAUCGAUAUUAUUCUGUUUUGCAUAUUUGAAAGUUGCUUCUUCUGAAACAAGCUUGGAGAGCACGUAAACCUGCAAAACACGGAAAUGUACUUGUCAAAACUUAUUCACUCGGUAGCUUUUUCAGGUUAUGGAAGAGGAAUCAUAGAUUUUACCCAUCCGCUAGCUUUCGUGUUCAAGACAUGAUCUAUCGGAGUCUGGCAAGUUUCAUCGACUACAUCUCUCCAGUUCCCAUCGCUGUCUUUAGCAGUUAGUGUACUAAUGGAGGAUGUGAAAACAACCCGUUUCACGGAUUCAGAUUUCGAGCAUGAUUUUAGAAGGUUCAGCGUUCCGUUAAUCGCAGGAUCAAUAAUAUUUGACUGAAUGUACUCUACAAGUUCACAGAAAGUAAGGAAACUAGUUUGAAACAGUAAACUCCGGCGAGAAUUUUCAUUGAAGAAAUAGAGAAUUGCAUGCUUUUCGAAUUACCAGUGUUGCUGUUCGUUUCGGAACCAAAUUCCAUUGAUGCUGCAACAUGGAAUACACCAUGGCAGCCCUUUACAGGUUCAUCAAAGCUGCCUUCUUCUUGCAAAUCAGCUUUGAACAGUCUCAAUCUGUCAACUCCACUCCAUUGUGACAAUAGAUGUAGUGAUUUUGCUGAUAUUUCAGGUUCCAGUUUGUUUAGUAAGAUUUUCAAUUCAUAAUGGCAAAACAUCUUUUAUUCGCUUUUUUAUAUUAAACUGUUUGAAUUGACAUUCAUCUAAAAUAAAACAUUUUGAAUUGA
Molecule: RNA transcript, 2864 nt
Organism: Mercurialis annua (annual mercury)
Lineage: Eukaryota; Viridiplantae; Streptophyta; Magnoliopsida; Malpighiales; Euphorbiaceae
Exons: 4
Source: RefSeq, a predicted model, not a curated record